GCCUAAUUCCUUAAAAGAAAUUAACAUCAAAAAACACCACAAAAAUAAAAUUUACUAAUUCCAUAAUAAUUACUAACCAAAACAAAAUAAAGAAAACAUUCCAAUAAAUAGACCAAACCACAAGUAAAUAAAAAAAAAGAACAAAUAAAAUUUUAACAUAAUCAAAUUGAAAAUCACCAUAAAAUCCACAAAGCUAAAUAACCAAACACAAAGUUAUAAUAAUAAAAUAAGGAGCUAGUCCCCCCCAAUCUUAACAUCAAAUAAAAAGCAAUAAACCGACAAUAAACUUUAAACAAAACGCAUGAAUUAAAUUCAUUUCUUGGAAAACCAGAAACCACCAAAGACGAA
Molecule: ribosomal RNA, 348 nt
Filed under: Odontotermes sp. UCR ENT 00058201
Lineage: Eukaryota; Metazoa; Arthropoda; Insecta; Blattodea; Termitidae
Description: partial 16S ribosomal RNA
Source: RNAcentral